CCUACGGGAGGCAGCAGUGAGGAAUAUUGGUCAAUGGACGCAAGUCUGAACCAGCCAUGCCGCGUGCAGGAAGACGGCUCUAUGAGUUGUAAACUGCUUUUGUACGAGGGUAAACGCAGAUACGCGUAUCUGUCUGAAAGUAUCGUACGAAUAAGGAUCGGCUAACUCCGUGCCAGCAGCCGCGGUAAUACGGAGGAUUCAAGCGUUAUCCGGAUUUAUUGGGUUUAAGGGGUGCGUAGGCGGUCGGAUAAGUUAGAUGUGAAAUCCCGAGGCUCAACUUCGGAAUUGCCUCUGAUACUGGUCGGCGAGAGAGUAGUUGAGGUAGGCAGAAUGUAUGGUGUAGCGGUGAAAUGCUUAGAGAUCAUACAGAACACCGAUUGCGAAGGCAGCUUACCAAGCUAAUUCUGACGUUGAGGCACGAAAGCGUGGGGAGCAAACAGGAUUAGAUACCCCAGUAGUC
Molecule: ribosomal RNA, 460 nt
Filed under: uncultured bacterium
Lineage: Bacteria
Description: partial 16S ribosomal RNA
Rfam family: Bacterial small subunit ribosomal RNA
Source: RNAcentral